This 253-nucleotide ribosomal RNA is filed under the name uncultured bacterium. RNAcentral's name for it is "partial 16S ribosomal RNA". It matches the Rfam family "Bacterial small subunit ribosomal RNA", at positions 524 to 776 of the family's 1533-position model. The record is from RNAcentral.
UACGUAGGGGGCAAGCGUUGUCCGGAUUUAUUGGGCGUAAAGGGCGCGUAGGCGGCCUGUUAAGUCGAACGUGAAAUCCCCGGGCUCAACCCGGGAACUGCGUCCGAUACUGGCAGGCUCGAAUCCGGGAGAGGGAUGCGGAAUUCCAGGUGUAGCGGUGAAAUGCGUAGAUAUCUGGAGGAACACCGGUGGCGAAGGCGGCAUCCUGGACCGGCAUUGACGCUGAGGCGCGAAAGCCAGGGGAGCAAACGGG